RNAcentral lists this long non-coding RNA (931 nucleotides) under Heterocephalus glaber (naked mole-rat). Its description in RNAcentral is "lncRNA (ENSHGLG00100044725.1)". Lineage: Eukaryota; Metazoa; Chordata; Mammalia; Rodentia; Bathyergidae. The record is from RNAcentral.
GUCCACAGCUGCCCCGGAUUGACUGCAAGGCGGCAGUCCCUCCUCUCUGCUUUCAUUCUGCACACAUCACUCCGGAGUGCUGUUGUUUGCUUCACUUCUGUCUGCAGAGCCCGAGUGAAUCAGACCUCACGCCAGCCUCAGCCAAGCUGCGUCCUUGGAGCCAGGGCAGCGACAUCCCCUAUCCCAAAACGUGAAAUCAAGGCAGGAGUUGGAUGCACACCUGUGAUCCCAGCACUCGGAGGCUGAGACAGGAGGAUCACCAUGAGUUCAGGGCCAUCCCGGGCUACACAGUGAGUCCAAGGCCAGCCUGAACUGCACAGCGAGACCCUGUCUCAAACAAACAAACAACCAAAUAGGGCCGGGGAUUUGGCUCAGUGGUUCCACCACUUGUCCCGAAAGGACCCGAGUUCAAUCCUGGUACAAAAAACAAAACCAAACCAAACAAACAAAAACCAAAUAGCUGAAAUCCAAAAAGCUCCAAAACUGAAAAGCUCUGGGCACCGCCUGAUGCCAUACAGAGCUCCACCCUCCCUCAGGGGCAGGUGGCAUCAGAAUGUGGCACUAAAUGAUGAAUAACUGACCUUCAGGCUGUGAGCAUCAGGCACUUCAGAGAAGGGACGUGGGCCCUGUGUGCAGAGAGAACACAGGAGGAAGGGAGAGCCCAGCAGGGACGAAACCAUGCAGGCGACGGCAGCGGACAGCACUUCCUGCACCCCACAUGGGAGGACUUCGAGGCCAGGGCGAAUGCCACGCCAGAGUCCGUGGGACCCAAGCAUCUGCAGGUGUUGGGCUUCCAGGGUCCAGGUCCUCUGGGAAGGGCGGGCUGCAGCUGCCUCCCCACUUGUUAGUGUCUGCGAGGAGCCCCAGGUGGCCUUGCCUUCUUGAUUCCAGCUCGUGAUGAGGACACGUGGAUCGGAUCGAGGUGACUCAG